RNAcentral lists this ribosomal RNA (526 nucleotides) under uncultured archaeon. Its description in RNAcentral is "bacterial SSU rRNA". It matches the Rfam family "Archaeal small subunit ribosomal RNA", at positions 95 to 622 of the family's 1478-position model. The record is from RNAcentral.
AACACGUGGAUAACCUGCCCUAAGGUCCGGCAUAACCCCGGGAAACUGGGGAUAAUUCCGGAUAAACCAUAGAUACUGGAAUGUUCUUUGGUUAAAAGCUCCGGUGCCUUAGGAUGGAUCUGCGGCCUAUCAGGUAGUAGUGGGUGUAAUGUACCUACUAGCCGACGACGGGUACGGGUUGUGAGAGCAAGAGCCCGGAGAUGGAUUCUGAGACAUGAAUCCAGGCCCUACGGGGCGCAGCAGGCGCGAAAACUUUACAAUGCGGGAAACCGCGAUAAGGGGACACCGAGUGCCAGCAUAUUAUGUUGGCUGUCCGCAUGUAUAAAUAACAUGUGUUAGCAAGGGCCGGGCAAGACCGGUGCCAGCCGCCGCGGUAACACCGGCGGCCCGAGUGGUAGCCGCUAUUAUUGGGUCUAAAGGGUCCGUAGCCGGUUUGAUCAGUCUUCCGGGAAAUCUGACAGCUUAACUGUUAGGCUUCCGGGGGAUACUGUCAGACUUGGAACCGGGAGAGGGUAGAGGUACUACA